UACGAAGGGGGCUAGCGUUGUUCGGAAUUACUGGGCGUAAAGGGCGCGUAGGCGGCUGUCCAAGUCAGAUGUGAAAGCCCCGGGCUUAACCUGGGAAUUGCAUUUGAGACUGGGCGGCUUGAGUUUCGGAGAGGUGGGUGGAAUUCCCAGUGUAGAGGUGAAAUUCGUAGAUAUUGGGAAGAACACCGGUGGCGAAGGCGGCUCACUGGACCGUAGUUGACGCUGAGGUGCGAAAGCGUGGGGAGCAAACAGG
Molecule: ribosomal RNA, 253 nt
Filed under: uncultured bacterium
Lineage: Bacteria
Description: partial 16S ribosomal RNA
Rfam family: Bacterial small subunit ribosomal RNA
Source: RNAcentral